RNAcentral lists this ribosomal RNA (452 nucleotides) under Ruegeria sp. Its description in RNAcentral is "bacterial SSU rRNA". It matches the Rfam family "Bacterial small subunit ribosomal RNA", at positions 56 to 555 of the family's 1533-position model. Lineage: Bacteria; Pseudomonadati; Pseudomonadota; Alphaproteobacteria; Rhodobacterales; Roseobacteraceae. The record is from RNAcentral.
UGCAGUCGAGCGCUCUCUUCGGAGGGAGCGGCGGACGGGUUAGUAACGCGUGGGAACGUACCCAGAUCUAAGGAAUAGCCACUGGAAACGGUGAGUAAUACCUUAUACGCCCUUCGGGGGAAAGAUUUAUCGGAUUUGGAUCGGCCCGCGUUAGAUUAGAUAGUUGGUGGGGUAACGGCCUACCAAGUCUACGAUCUAUAGCUGGUUUUAGAGGAUGAUCAGCAACACUGGGACUGAGACACGGCCCAGACUCCUACGGGAGGCAGCAGUGGGGAAUCUUGGACAAUGGGCGCAAGCCUGAUCCAGCCAUGCCGCGUGAGUGAUGAAGGCCUUAGGGUCGUAAAGCUCUUUCGCCUGUGAAGAUAAUGACGGUAGCAGGUAAAGAAACCCCGGCUAACUCCGUGCCAGCAGCCGCGGUAAUACGGAGGGGGUUAGCGUUGUUCGGAAUUACU